UGGGGCUGUGGCGGAACUGGCAGACGCGCUGGAUUUAGGAUCCAGUUCCUUUACUGGAGUGCAGGUUCGAUUCCUGUCAGCCCUAU
Molecule: transfer RNA, 86 nt
Rfam family: tRNA
About the family: Transfer RNA (tRNA) molecules are approximately 80 nucleotides in length. Their secondary structure includes four short double-helical elements and three loops (D, anti-codon, and T loops).